AGGAAAAGAAACCAACAGGGAUUGCCUUAGUAGCGGCGAGUGAAGCGGCAAAAGCUCAAAUUUGAAAUCUGGCACUUUCAGUGUCCGAGUUGUAAUUUGAAGAAGGUAUCUUUGGGUCUGGCUCUUGUCUAUGUUUCUUGGAACAGAACGUCACAGAGGGUGAGAAUCCCGUGCGAUGAGAUGUCCCAGACCUAUGUAAAGUUCCUUCGAAGAGUCGAGUUGUUUGGGAAUGCAGCUCUAAGUGGGUGGUAAAUUCCAUCUAAAGCUAAAUAUUGGCGAGAGACCGAUAGCGAACAAGUACAGUGAUGGAAAGAUGAAAAGAACUUUGAAAAGAGAGUGAAAAAGUACGUGAAAUUGUUGAAAGGGAAGGGCUUGAGAUCAGACUUGGUAUUUUGUAUGUUACUCUCUCGGGGGUGGCCUCUACAGUUUACCGGGCCAGCAUCAGUUUGGGCGGUAGGACAAUUGCAAAGAAAUGUGGCACUGCCUCGGUAGUGUGUUAUAGUCUUUGUCGAUACUGCCAGCCUAGACUGAGGACUGCGGCUUCGGCCUAGGAUGUUGGCAUAAUGAUCUUAAGUCGCCCGUC
This 583-nucleotide ribosomal RNA is filed under the name Lodderomyces orthopsilosis. RNAcentral describes it as "eukaryotic LSU rRNA". It matches the Rfam family "Eukaryotic large subunit ribosomal RNA", at positions 54 to 653 of the family's 3401-position model. The record is from RNAcentral. Lineage: Eukaryota; Fungi; Ascomycota; Pichiomycetes; Serinales; Debaryomycetaceae.